GGAGGCGCCUGCAAGUCUAGAACGGCGUUGACCGCGGCGGAUUCUGAUUCCGCCAUUCGGAGGUUCGAUCCCUCCCGCCUCCC
This 83-nucleotide transfer RNA is filed under the name Bradyrhizobium japonicum. RNAcentral's name for it is "tRNA-OTHER". Lineage: Bacteria; Pseudomonadati; Pseudomonadota; Alphaproteobacteria; Hyphomicrobiales; Nitrobacteraceae. The record is from RNAcentral. RNAcentral also lists the same sequence under 3 other names.